RNAcentral lists this ribosomal RNA (410 nucleotides) under Micrococcus luteus. RNAcentral describes it as "bacterial SSU rRNA". It matches the Rfam family "Bacterial small subunit ribosomal RNA", at positions 42 to 456 of the family's 1533-position model. Lineage: Bacteria; Bacillati; Actinomycetota; Actinomycetes; Micrococcales; Micrococcaceae. The record is from RNAcentral.
GCGUGCUACACAUGCAGUCGAGCGAUGAAGCCCAGCUUGCUGGGUGGAUUAGUGGCGAACGGGUGAGUAACACGUGAGUAACCUGCCCUUGACUCUAGGAUAAGCCCGGGAAACUGGGUCUAAUACUGGAUAGGAACGUCUACCGCAUGGUGGAUGUUGGAAAGAAUUUCGGUCAUGGAUGGACUCGCGGCCUAUCAGCUUGUUGGUGAGGUAAUGGCUCACCAAGGCGACGACGGGUAGCCGGCCUGAGAGGGUGACCGGCCACACUGGGACUGAGACACGGCCCAGACUCCUACGGGAGGCAGCAGUGGGGAAUAUUGCACAAUGGGCGAAAGCCUGAUGCAGCGACGCCGCGUGAGGGAUGACGGCCUUCGGGUUGUAAACCUCUUUCAGUAGGGAAGAAGCGAAAG